This 253-nucleotide ribosomal RNA is filed under the name uncultured bacterium. RNAcentral describes it as "partial 16S ribosomal RNA". It matches the Rfam family "Bacterial small subunit ribosomal RNA", at positions 524 to 776 of the family's 1533-position model. The record is from RNAcentral.
UACGUAGGUGGCAAGCGUUGUCCGGAUUUACUGGGCGUAAAGAGCGCGCAGGCGGUCGUUCAAGUCGCGUGUGAAAGCCCCCGGCUCAACUGGGGAGGGUCACGCGAUACUGAUCGACUCGAAGGCAGGAGAGGGUAGUGGAAUUCCCGGUGUAGUGGUGAAAUGCGUAGAUAUCGGGAGGAACACCAGUGGCGAAGGCGACUACCUGGCCUGUUCUUGACGCUGAGGCGCGAAAGCUAGGGGAGCGAACCGG